UCCGAUGCGGGGCUGGAACGCACAAGCCGUGAGGUCAUGACCUGAGCCGAAGUCGGACGCUCAACCGACUGAGCCACCCAGGCGCCCCUGCUUGCGCUUCUGUUUAGUGAGCACUUGCUAUGUACCGCAUGAAUGCACAGAACAUAUUUCACAAUAAAUAUCACCUCUUGUUUUUGUCAUUAGGGUUCACACCGCCCCCCCCCCCGGGCCCACACACACACACGGGCCCACAUGGCCCUGUGUGAUCUAUCCUGAGCCACCUCCCUGACCACCUCCCACCCCCUCCCUCUCCUUCACAGGCUCCGGCCGCACUAGUUUCCUUGCUGCAAGCUCGCUCCUGCUUCAGAGACUUGGCAUCUAGCAUUCCUUCUGUCCGGAUUGCUUACCCACUUCCCUCAGUUCCCGCCUCAAAUAUUUCUCAAAACCUGUGCUAUGCCCUCUUCAUAAAUGAUCUCAUUUCGUCCUCAGCAAUCCUAUGAGGUGGGUACCAUGUUGGGUUAAGCGCCUAUGCAAUUGCCAGUAUUUGACCAUUUGGCUUACCGGAAAGCAACUUCCUAUUGUUCAACCUAAUAUUAUGCCUGUUUUACAGAGGAAGGAAUUGGGCCUUAAAUAAUUUGGCCAAGGUCACACUGUUAUCAAGCGGCAGGGACAGGAUUCAGUCUUAGACCUCUUUUAUCCUAAGGUCCACACCCUUAAUGUCUAACCAUUUGCCUCCCAGACCUUCCCUGUUUCUUUCUUGGAUUUUUGUCCUUCCAUUUGGUCAAGGAGCAUGACAUACCCUCUACGAAGCUGGGGUACCAAGAAACUGAAACACUAAUGUUCCCACUUGAAGAGCCUCGAGCCUUCCAGUCAACACAGAGGCUGCCUACCUGGAUCUUUCCUGUCUCCGCUAUCUGGCUCCAAGCCGCUCAUGACUGACAGCUGUGGGAAGAAUGGAUGAACUGGGGACAGAACCCGAACAAGGAAAACCAUUUCAGAGGCCAUCGCGUUCGCCCCGGUGAGAAAUGCUGUUCGCUUGGCCUGGCCUGUGCCGGUGGCCGUGGAGGGAGACAGAAAAGAACCAAUUCAAUAGGUAUUGUGGAUGUAUCUGUACCAGCUGGCAACCUGCCUCUGGGGGUGAGCUGAGCAGGUGCUCCAGGUGGUCUAUCCUACGGCCUCGGCCAUACAGCUAGUGGGCCAAAUGACUCUAAAGUCCUUCCCAGCUCGGUGAUUCUAUUGAUCUAGAACACCAACGACAUGGCUAUGGCUAUGGGUAGAAAUACGCACUGUUUGAUAGUUGUGACCCAUGCCCGUGCACGUGGUCAUAUUCGAGCCUCAUAGCAAUCCUGGGAGGUACAUAUUAUUUUUUCCACUUUAAAAAUUAGAAAAUUCAGGCCCAGGGAGUUUAAAUGAUGGAUCCAAACACUGACCAAAUCCAAUGGCUCUUGGGUUCAAAUGCAAGUCUUUUGACUCCAGAACCCACCUGUUUCUUCUAUCAUGAGAGUAGAUAAAUCUUCUGAGCAGAAGUGCCAAGGAGACCAUAAAGUUGAGACUAAUAAAAUCAAUGCUAUUAUUUUAAAAUAAAUAGAUAUCUGUAUUAUUAAACUGAUACAAGUGUAAUUAUAA
Felis catus (domestic cat) is the source of this 1605-nucleotide long non-coding RNA. RefSeq lists it as uncharacterized. The record is from RefSeq and is a predicted model, not a curated record. NCBI's taxonomy places the organism in Eukaryota, Metazoa, Chordata, Mammalia, Carnivora, Felidae. The transcript has 2 exons.